This 465-nucleotide ribosomal RNA is filed under the name Vreelandella stevensii. Its description in RNAcentral is "partial 16S ribosomal RNA". It matches the Rfam family "Bacterial small subunit ribosomal RNA", at positions 338 to 795 of the family's 1533-position model. The record is from RNAcentral. Lineage: Bacteria; Pseudomonadati; Pseudomonadota; Gammaproteobacteria; Oceanospirillales; Halomonadaceae.
CCUACGGGUGGCUGCAGUGGGGAAUAUUGGACAAUGGGCGAAAGCCUGAUCCAGCCAUGCCGCGUGUGUGAAGAAGGCCUUCGGGUUGUAAAGCACUUUCAGUGGGGAAGAAAGCCUUGGGGCUAAUACCCUCGAGGAAGGACAUCACCCACAGAAGAAGCACCGGCUAACUCCGUGCCAGCAGCCGCGGUAAUACGGAGGGUGCGAGCGUUAAUCGGAAUUACUGGGCGGAAAGCGCGCGUAGGCGGUCUGAUAAGCCGGUUGUGAAAGCCCCGGGCUCAACCUGGGAACGGCAUCCGGAACUGUCAGGCUAGAGUGCAGGAGAGGAAGGUAGAAUUCCCGGUGUAGCGGUGAAAUGCGUAGAGAUCGGGAGGAAUACCAGUGGCGAAGGCGGCCUUCUGGACUGACACUGACGCUGAGGUGCGAAAGCGUGGGUAGCAAACAGGAUUAGAUACCCGAGUAGUC